This 508-nucleotide ribosomal RNA is filed under the name uncultured Pseudomonadota bacterium. RNAcentral's name for it is "bacterial SSU rRNA". It matches the Rfam family "Bacterial small subunit ribosomal RNA", at positions 371 to 896 of the family's 1533-position model. Lineage: Bacteria; Pseudomonadati; Pseudomonadota. The record is from RNAcentral.
UAGGGCGCAAACCUGAUCCAGCCAUGCCGCGUAGGUGAUGAAGGCCCUAGGGUUGUAAAGCCCUUUCGAGCGGGGAAGAUAAUGACGGUACCCGCAGAAGAAGCCCCGGCUAACUUCGUGCCAGCAGCCGCGGUAAUACGAAGGGGGCUAGCGUUGCUCGGAAUUACUGGGCGUAAAGCGCACGUAGGCGGCUUUCUAAGUCGGGGGUGAAAUCCUGGAGCUCAACUCCAGAACUGCCUUCGAUACUGGAAAGCUCGAGUCCGGGAGAGGUGAGUGGAACUGCGAGUGUAGAGGUGAAAUUCGUAGAUAUUCGCAAGAACACCAGUGGCGAAGGCGGCUCACUGGCCCGGUACUGACGCUGAGGUGCGAAAGCGUGGGGAGCAAACGGGAUUAGAUACCCUGGUAGUCCACGCCGUAAACGAUGGAUGCUAGCCGUUGGCGAGCUUGCUCGUCAGUGGCGCAGCUAACGCUUUAAGCAUCCCGCCUGGGGAGUACGGUCGCAAGAUUA